GUGGGGAAUAUUGGGCAAUGGAGGCAACUCUGACCCAGCCAUGCCGCGUGCAGGAAGACGGUCCUCUGGAUUGUAAACUGCUUUUGAAUGGGAAGAAACGUAGCUUUGCGAAGCUAUUUGACGGUACUAUUAGAAUAAGCACCGGCUAACUCCGUGCCAGCAGCCGCGGUAAUACGGAGGGUGCAAGCGUUAUCCGGAUUUAUUGGGUUUAAAGGGUGCGUAGGCGGCUUUAUAAGUCUGGGGUUAAAGGCGGCAGCUUAACUGUACGCAUGCCCUGGAAACUGUGAAGCUUGAGUGACUUGGAGGUAGCUAGAAUUCCCUGUGUAGCGGUGAAAUGCAUAGAUACGGGGAGGAAUACCGAUUGCGAAGGCAUGUUACUACGAGUAAACUGACGCUGAUGCACGAAAGCGUGGGGAUCAAACAGGAUUAGAAACCCUUGUAGUCC
This 445-nucleotide ribosomal RNA is filed under the name uncultured bacterium. Its description in RNAcentral is "partial 16S ribosomal RNA". It matches the Rfam family "Bacterial small subunit ribosomal RNA", at positions 354 to 796 of the family's 1533-position model. The record is from RNAcentral.